UACAGAGGGGGCAAGCGUUAUUCGGAAUUAUUGGGCGUAAAGGGCGCGUAGGCGGCCUGGCAAGUGGAAGGUGAAAUCCCUCGGCUUAACCGAGGAACUGCCCUCCAAACUGCUUGGCUUGAGUCCAGGAGAGGUGAGUGGAAUUCCCAGUGUAGCGGUGAAAUGCGUAGAUAUUGGGAGGAACACCAGUGGCGAAGGCGGCUCACUGGACCGGAACUGACGCUGAGGCGCGAAAGCGUGGGGAGCAAACGGG
This 253-nucleotide ribosomal RNA is filed under the name uncultured bacterium. Its description in RNAcentral is "partial 16S ribosomal RNA". It matches the Rfam family "Bacterial small subunit ribosomal RNA", at positions 524 to 776 of the family's 1533-position model. The record is from RNAcentral.